GUCCCACACAACUUUCCGUGAGCACACCUGUUAAGGAAAAUCACUAUCCUUGCCACCUUACUUUGGUACCAGUUGCUGGCAUAGUGGUUACAGAUUACAGUCGUAGUUCUUCAAAUACUACUUAUCUUAAUUAUUUUUAUUUGGAUUAAAAGUAAAAAAUAGAAAUAUGCUGAUUCGACAUCUAGCAAAUCUUUCACACAACCAUCAAAGAGAUUUCAGGAAGGUAUUUUAUGAUUUAACAGAUAUUUCAUUACAUUUUGGUCAAAUGAUGGACCAUUUAGUGAAUAUAAUAAAAAAAUGAUGAGUUCGUAGAUGCCAAGAAUCAGAGAAUAUACCAGUCGAGACAUACUUCUUUUGUCCAGCUGAGAAUGUCUCUUUUCGUAUCAUCUCCAACCACGAUAUCAACACAAAUAUCAAAACCUAGAAUAUAUUUGAAAAUGACUAUCAUUGUUAAUAUAAGGAAUUAAGCAUAACGAAAAGAGCUGACACCUAAAAGUAACAGAACACAGACCAUGAAUUAAGUCAAAUCUUCCUCCUUUUAAAUUUACUUAACACAAUAUGCAAUUCAAAAUCAGAAGCAUAUGACACUUCAAAGGUAACACAUUACUCUCAAAGUAUAAAUCACUAAAUUGCGAGCUCAAAAAUAUAAUAGUGUAAAUACCUUACCAUCAACUAAAAAAGUUAUCCUUUUAAGUUCUGAGCCUGAUUUCAGUAGCUAUUUCCUCAAGAAAAAUACACUAAUGUUUUGUGAAAACCAAUUAAUUUCAUCAACCUCAAGCACCUUGAGAAAAUUUCUGUGGAAACUCAAUUUGUACCAUUAUAGAAUCGAUGGCACUUAGGUUCCAGUUCAUAUUCUUCAAUGCAUUAACAGUUAGACAUGCCUCCCUUAAAAAGGAGAUCUAUGACAGCCUGAAAUUGGCAAAAGAAAGAAGAACCACAUUUUGAUUAGCUCUGUUGUAGUAAUCUAUAAUUUUUUCUCCCAAAUGACUAUCUUUCUGAAGACAUACCUGAAAAUUAAAUUAUAUAAUAACACCUUGAUAGAAAAGUCAUUUUUAAUGUCACAUCCUUAAUUCCUUUCUAAUAUAAUUUUAUUCCAUGUGCAUUUUACACUAUAUUAACUUUGGCAGCAACUUAUGUGGCAUAGACAUUAAUGGAGCACUUGGAUAAGAAAAGAAAUCUAUCUGUACUAAGAAAAAGAAUAAAAUGAGUGUCUGAGUACUUGCAUAUACUUGGCAGAUACGUUUUUUGAAAAGCAUUUUCUCGAAUUUCCAUGCUGUACAACUCGUAUCAUCGCCACUACUUCAGUCUACUAAAAGGCCAUCAUAUUGACAUGAAAACUAUCCCCUUCUUCUAACAUGAAACCCCAUUCUGCUUUGCUAAAAAAGUAGAAAUUGGAUCACAAAAUUGAUUUUUUGGGAAAAACCUAAUGAAUUUUAAGAGAUCGAAAAAAUUGUGGAAAGAAAAUUCACUUUGUGAAAAAUCAAUGGAGAGUUUUGCUCAUGAACGGAAGAAAAGUUUUUUUUUUUGUGAA
This 1531-nucleotide long non-coding RNA is filed under the name Capsicum annuum. RNAcentral describes it as "long non-coding RNA (CANN_LNC010152)". Lineage: Eukaryota; Viridiplantae; Streptophyta; Magnoliopsida; Solanales; Solanaceae. The record is from RNAcentral.